RNAcentral lists this ribosomal RNA (497 nucleotides) under uncultured bacterium. Its description in RNAcentral is "partial 16S ribosomal RNA". It matches the Rfam family "Bacterial small subunit ribosomal RNA", at positions 28 to 507 of the family's 1533-position model. The record is from RNAcentral.
GAUGAACGCUGGCGGCGUGCCUAAUACAUGCAAGUCGCGCGAACAGACGAGGCGCUUGCUCCUUUGACGCUACCGGCGGACGGGUGAGUAACACGUGCAUCACCUACCUCUAAGACUGGGCCAACACCUGGAACCCCCAGCUAAUCCCGCAAAAUAUAUCCAACCGCACGCCUCAAUUGUGAAACACGCUUUUGCUCUUACCUAUAGUUGGACCCCCCUCGCAUUAGUUAGCUGGCAAGGCAACGGCUUACCAACGCCACGAUGCGUAGCCGAGCCGAGCGGAUGAUCAGGCUGAAGGGAACUGAGACACGGUCCAGACUCGUACGGGAGGCAGCAGUAGGGAAUCUUCCUCCAUGGGCGAAAGCCGGACGCAGCAACGCCGCGGGAGGGAUGAAGGUCUUCGAAUCGUAAAGCUCUGUGAUGAGGGAAGAACAAAUGUGUGAAUAACUAUACACGUCUUGACGGUACCGGAUCAAAAAGCCACGGCUAACUCAGUG